RNAcentral lists this ribosomal RNA (420 nucleotides) under uncultured bacterium. Its description in RNAcentral is "bacterial SSU rRNA". It matches the Rfam family "Bacterial small subunit ribosomal RNA", at positions 356 to 773 of the family's 1533-position model. The record is from RNAcentral.
GAGGAAUAUUGGUCAAUGGGCGAGAGCCUGAACCAGCCAAGUCGCGUGAAGGAAGACGGCCCUACGGGUUGUAAACUUCUUUUGCAAUGGAAUAAAAAGAGUUACGUGUAAUUCAUUGUAUGUACAUUGCGAAUAAGGAUCGGCUAACUCCGUGCCAGCAGCCGCGGUAAUACGGAGGAUCCGAGCGUUAUCCGGAUUUAUUGGGUUUAAAGGGUGCGUAGGCGGAUUGGAAAGUCAGCGGUGAAAGUUUGCAGCUUAACUGUAAAAUUGCCAUUGAAACUGUCAGUCUUGAGUGCAAAUGAGGUAGGCGGAAUGUGUUGUGUAGUGGUGAAAUGCAUAGAUAUAACACAGAACACCAAUUGCGAAGGCAGCUUACUGGGAUGCAACUGACGCUGAGGCACGAAAGCGUGGGGAUCAAAC